Molecule: long non-coding RNA, 1054 nt
Filed under: Vigna radiata
Lineage: Eukaryota; Viridiplantae; Streptophyta; Magnoliopsida; Fabales; Fabaceae
Description: long non-coding RNA (VRAD_LNC009416)
Source: RNAcentral
UAAAAAUAAUGCACUGGCAUUUCAGAUUUCAAAUCAUGGUCAUUGUCAAUACAAUUUCUUUGAAAAUAAAUAAAGAAUUUGGAAUGAUGAUGACAUUAACAAAAAUAGUUAGGUCACAUAUUGAAUAGCUUUAAUACCUCCCUUGAUCCUCGUAUUUGUGUGAAAAUCUCAGUUCGGUCUUCAAGUUUUGAACUGUCUCAAUUGGGUCAUAAAUUUUGUAAAAAUGCAUACAUUUUACCCUAACCGUUAACUGAUCUCAAACGGCAUUAAGUUUAGCUGACAUGGUAUGUUGACGUGUUGGCUUAAUCCCUUCUUGGUUCUCAUAUUUGUGUGAAAAUCUCAGUUCGGUCCUCAAGUUUUGAACUGUCAUAAUUUUUGUAAAAUUGUGCACAUUUUACCCCAAUCGUUAACUGAUCCCAAACGGCGUUAAGUUUAGCUGACGUGGUAACCAGAGGACAUGCUGAUGUGUAUUAUUUAAUUAUAUGAAUUAUUUUUUAAAAUAAGUCGUGUUUCACGUGGCACAAUGCCUAUUAUUUAGUUUAUUUGAAUUAGGAAUUUUAUUCAUCUCUCUGAGAAUCAGGGAUUUUACACAGAUUAUUUCAUCGGCUCAAAAAAUAAAGUCACCGGAAAACUCGCAUAACCAGUGCAAUCAGUCUCACAACCUUUUCUACAAAUGAACCAACUUGGUAACCUAUAGGUUCAUCACCAGCCUUAAGCUAUUUAUUCCACUAAUAGUAGAAGAUAAUUGUUGCACAGUGAGAUCAGUUAGCGAUUGGGGUAAAAUGUGUGUAUUUUUACAAAAAUUAUGAUCCACUUGAGACAGUUCAAAACUUGAGGACUGAAUUAAGAUUUUCACACAAAUACGAGGACCAAGGGAUUAAGCCAACACGUCAGCAUACCACGUUAGCUAAACUUAACGCCCUUUGAUAUCAGUUAACGGUUGGAGUAAAAUGUGUGCAUUUUUACAAAAAUUAUGACCCAAUUGAGACAGUUCAAAACUUGAGGACCGAACUGAUAUUUUCACACAAAUGUGAACACCAAGAAAGGUAUUAAG